This 502-nucleotide ribosomal RNA is filed under the name uncultured Bacteroidota bacterium. RNAcentral describes it as "bacterial SSU rRNA". It matches the Rfam family "Bacterial small subunit ribosomal RNA", at positions 903 to 1382 of the family's 1533-position model. Lineage: Bacteria; Pseudomonadati; Bacteroidota. The record is from RNAcentral.
CGCCUUGCCAGCCCGCUCAGAACUUAAAGGAAUUGACGGGGCCCGCACAAGCGGUGGAGCAUGUGGUUUAAUUCGAUGAUACGCGAGGAACCUUACCUGGGCUCAAAUGUAUGUUGACGUAUUCUGAAAGGGAUACUUCUUCGGACAAUAUACAAGGUGCUGCAUGGUUGUCGUCAGCUCGUGCCGUGAGGUGUCGGGUUAAGUCCCAUAACGAGCGCAACCCCUAUCAUUAGUUGCCAUCAGGUCAAGCUGGGGACUCUAAUGAAACUGCCUACGCAAGUAGUGAGGAAGGUGGGGAUGACGUCAAAUCAGCACGGCCCUUACGUCCAGGGCUACACACGUGCUACAAUGGCCGGCACAACGGGAAGCGAGUUCGCGAGGACGAGCGGAUCCCUCAAAGCCGGUCGCAGUUCGGAUUGAAGUCUGCAACUCGACUUCAUGAAGCUGGAAUCGCUAGUAAUCGUGGAUCAGCCAAGCCGCGGUGAAUACGUUCCCGGGCCUU